RNAcentral lists this ribosomal RNA (548 nucleotides) under uncultured bacterium. Its description in RNAcentral is "bacterial SSU rRNA". It matches the Rfam family "Bacterial small subunit ribosomal RNA", at positions 355 to 896 of the family's 1533-position model. The record is from RNAcentral.
UGGGGAAUAUUGCGCAAUGGGGGGAACCCUGACGCAGCCAUGCCGCGUGAAUGAAGAAGGCCUUAGGGUUGUAAAGUUCUUUCGGUAUUGAGGAAGGUUGAUGUGUUAAUAGCACAUCAAAUUGACGUUAAAUACAGAAGAAGCACCGGCUAACUCCGUGCCAGCAGCCGCGGUAAUACGGAGGGUGCGAGCGUUAAUCGGAAUAACUGGGCGUAAAGGGCACGCAGGCGGUUAUUUAAGUGAGGUGUGAAAGCCCCGGGCUUAACCUGGGAAUUGCAUUUCAGACUGGGUAACUAGAGUACUUUAGGGAGGGGUAGAAUUCCACGUGUAGCGGUGAAAUGCGUAGAGAUGCGGAGGAAUACCGAAGGCGAAGCNAGCCCCUUGGGAAUGUACUGACGCUCAUGUGCGAAAGNGNGGGGGAGCAAACAGGAUUAGAUACCCUGGUAGUCCACGCUGUAAACGCUGUCGAUUUGGGGGUUGGGGUUUAACUCUGGCGCCCGUAGCUAACGUGAUAAAUCGACCGCCUGGGGAGUACAGCCGCAAGGUUA